Capsicum annuum is the source of this 1925-nucleotide RNA transcript. It is a transcript of the gene named L-cysteine desulfhydrase, with no coding region annotated. The record is from RefSeq and is a predicted model, not a curated record. The transcript has 3 exons. NCBI's taxonomy places the organism in Eukaryota, Viridiplantae, Streptophyta, Magnoliopsida, Solanales, Solanaceae.
AAGAAAAUAUAAAAGGAAUAAACAAGAAAUCAACCAUUAAUAGCCAAAAAUAAAAUAAAAUAAACGAAAACUGUUGAUUGAUUUUCAAUAAAUAUUGCGGCAUUUCUAUGUAGCCAAAUGUUGACGUCUGUAUCCUUAAAAACAAAAUAAAAAAUAAUGAAUCAUUUUGAAAUGUAGCCGUGUUCGCCAGUUACCAACAUAUCCUAUCACUCUUCUCUUCCGGUGACCCAAAACCCUAACCCUAAUCUCCAAAUGGAAUCGGCUAACGAUGAUGACCAUCGAGCUAACGGCUCUGACGACAACCGUUUAGCGAAGAAACCCAAGAUGUCCAGCUCAUUGUUUAUUACGGAUUCUGAAGUAAUUGAAGAGUUCGGCCAUCACCAGCCAGGAAUAGCUCGUAUUAAUAAUGGUAGUUUUGGUAGCUGUCCGGCGUCAAUCAUCGCAGCUCAGAAGCUCUGGCAGCUCCGUUUCUUACAACAACCCGAUGACUUCUUUUAUAAUAAUUUACAGAAGAGGAUUCUUCAUUCGCGGGGGAUUAUUAAGGAUGUGAUUAAUGCGGAGCAUGUUGAGGAGGUGUCUCUUGUGGAUAACGCGACUACUGCGGCCGCUAUUGUUCUUCAGCAUAUUGGUUGGGCGUUUGCUGAGGGGCGGUUUCAGAAAGGAGAUGCUGUUGUUAUGCUUCAUUGUGCGUUUCAGGCGGUUAAGAAGUCGAUUGAGGCGUAUGUUACUCGUGCUGGUGGUUCUGUGAUUGUGGUGCAUUUGCCGUUUCCGCUAAGUUCGGAGGAGGAGAUUGUUGCUGAGUUUCGUAAAGCAUUGGCGAAGGGGAAAGAGAAUGGGAAGAAGGUUCGGUUGGCUAUUAUUGAUCAUAUUACGUCAAUGCCGUGUGUUGUUAUUCCUGUGCGUGAUUUGGUUAAGAUUUGUAGGGAAGAAGGUGUGGAACGGGUGUUUGUUGAUGCUGCUCAUGCUAUUGGGAAUGUUCAUGUCGAUGUUAGAGAAAUUGGAGCUGAUUUUUAUGUAAGCAACUUGCAUAAGUGGUUCUUCUGUCCUCCAUCGGCUGCCUUUUUGUACUGUCGGAAAUCGCCUGUAUCCCCUGAUCUACACCAUCCUGUGGUGUCUCAUGAAUAUGGUAAUGGAUUAGCCAUUGAAAGUGCGUGGAUAGGGACGCGAGAUUACAGCUCUCAACUAGUUAUACCUGAGGUGUUAGAAUUUAUAAAUAGGUUUGAGGGUGGGAUUGAGGGAAUUAGGACAAGGAAUCAUAAUGCGGUGAUUGAAAUGGGACAAAUGUUGGCCAAUGCUUGGGGAACAGCGCUUGGCUGCCCUCCUGACAUGUCUCCAAGUAUGGCAAUGGUUGGUUUGCCUGCUAACCUUAGGAUUCUCAGUGAUAAGGAUGCUUUAAAUUUGAGAACUCGUUUGCGUGACCAUUUUGGAGUGGAAGUCCCAAUUCACUACCAGGAGAUAAAAGAAUUACAGGAUGGUGGUGAUGCCUAUGUGACAGGAUAUGCUCGGAUUUCUCAUCAGGUUUACAAUAAGGUUGAUGACUAUAUAAAGUUGAAGGAUGCAAUUCUACAGCUUGUGCGAGAUGGAGUUACUUGUAAGAUGCUUGGCUCAGAAUGAGAGGCCCAACUCAAUAGUGCGCCCUUCCCGGUUUUUAAAUGAUCCAUUGCAUUGUAUCCAGAACUGUCUUAAAAGCUCCCAGCACAAGAGUGAUGCUAUCUAGAAAUGCAGUAAGAGAUGAUCCAUGUCCUCUCGCAAGUGCUCAUGCAGGAACAAGGAAUUCUGCUGAGAGUUUCUUGAUAGGUUGUUUCACCAAUUUGUAUGGAGUUUUGUACUCUGAAAAACAACUUGUAGAAGUUUUCUUGUUAUCAAGAAUAAUCCUUGUAGAAGAAGCAUUGUAAGCGGCUAAUAAAUACCUAUUAUUGUUCUAA